RNAcentral lists this ribosomal RNA (253 nucleotides) under uncultured bacterium. Its description in RNAcentral is "partial 16S ribosomal RNA". It matches the Rfam family "Bacterial small subunit ribosomal RNA", at positions 524 to 776 of the family's 1533-position model. The record is from RNAcentral.
UACAGAGGUCUCAAGCGUUGUUCGGAUUCAUUGGGCGUAAAGGGUGUGUAGGUGGCGCGCUAAGUCGGGUGUGAAAUUUCGGAGCUUAACUCCGAAACUGCAUUCGAUACGGGCGUGCUUGAGGACUGGAGAGGAGACUGGAAUUUACGGUGUAGCGGUGAAAUGCGUAGAUAUCGUAAGGAAGACCAGUGGCGAAGGCGGGUCUCUGGACAGUUCCUGACGCUGAGGCACGAAGGCCAGGGGAGCAAACGGG